RNAcentral lists this ribosomal RNA (466 nucleotides) under uncultured bacterium. RNAcentral's name for it is "partial 16S ribosomal RNA". It matches the Rfam family "Bacterial small subunit ribosomal RNA", at positions 28 to 507 of the family's 1533-position model. The record is from RNAcentral.
GAUGAACGCUGGCGGCGUGCUUAACACAUGCAAGUCGAACGAUGAAGCCCAGCUUGCUGGGUGGAUUAGUGGCGAACGGGUGAGUAACACGUGAGUAACCUGCCCUUAACUCUGGGAUAAGCCUGGGAAACUGGGUCUAAUACCGGAUAGGAGCGUCCACCGCAUGGUGGGUGUUGGAAAGAUUUAUCGGUUUUGGAUGGACUCGCGGCCUAUCAGCUUGUUGGUGAGGUAAUGGCUCACCAAGGCGACGACGGGUAGCCGGCCUGAGAGGGUGACCGGCCACACUGGGACUGAGACACGGCCCAGACUCCUACGGGCGGCCGCCGUGGGGCUUCUUGCCCCCUGGGCGCCCGCCUGAUGCAGCGACGCCGCGUGAGGGAUGACGGCCUUCGGGUUGUAACCCUCUUUCCGUCGGGCCGCAGCGACAGUGACGGUACCUGCCGAAGCAGCACCGGCUCCCUCCGUG